CUGGUAGAAGGUUAGGGCUAUGACCAGACACUAUCAAGCCUUCAUCACAUACUGGUUGACUUUAUCUUGAGAAAGAAGGAGGCAGAGGACAUAACGUCAGAGCAGCUGCUGUUCAAAACUUCCAUCAUGAAAACAGCUGCAGGGAUCUGCAGCCAGGAGGUGGUCAAUGCUUGCCAGGGCAGCAGUCCAGGUUGCUGUUGUUGGACUCCAGCAGUGAGGGAAACUACCGCAGCGAAGAGGGAGUUCCUCUGAAUCCAGCUGUGUAAAUUCACUGUUGUGCUGCUGAUCACAUCUCUUUGACCACCUUACCAUGUUACCAAAGCUUGGGCCACAACAAGUCUAUUUAAUGGCAUUAGCCCACCACAGAAGCCACAUUUUGAAAGGAAGGAAUUCCUCAGUUUUCAGCAGUUUGAAAGAAGACAAACAUUUUGUUGUUUUAAAAGUUGUUUAGUGAUGAUAUGAUGUGGUGUGGUCCUUAUAUUUAGUCUGGAGAUCAUAUUAAAUGUUGGCUAGAAUCAAAGGAAAUAUGUAACCACUUUAACAUUUGUCAGCAAUGGGAUUCUCCAUCAUGUUAAAAAAGAAUUUAAAUCACAUCUCUCCUGAUUUAUUAUGGUUCAGCUAUCUGAAUAUUUGAACCCAGCCUCAAAGGAAACAAACAAAAAACAGGAUCCUACUUAAGCAUAGUAGACGCUGUGAGAAAUAAUGUAAAUCUUAAAAAAAACAGCAGAACACAGCUUGUAUUUUUGUUACGUUUAUUUGUUUUACGGUUAUCCAGGAUCAGUAA
Molecule: long non-coding RNA, 784 nt
Organism: Melanotaenia boesemani (Boeseman's rainbowfish)
Lineage: Eukaryota; Metazoa; Chordata; Actinopteri; Atheriniformes; Melanotaeniidae
Exons: 4
Source: RefSeq, a predicted model, not a curated record